Molecule: transfer RNA, 49 nt
Filed under: Unionicola foili
Lineage: Eukaryota; Metazoa; Arthropoda; Arachnida; Trombidiformes; Unionicolidae
Description: tRNA-Arg
Source: RNAcentral
UAAUUGAAAAAGAAGGAUUUCGAAUCCUAAAAAGCUUAGGCUUCAGUUU